Podarcis lilfordi (Lilford's wall lizard) is the source of this 73-nucleotide non-coding RNA. The record is from the annotation of a GenBank genome assembly. NCBI's taxonomy places the organism in Eukaryota, Metazoa, Chordata, Lepidosauria, Squamata, Lacertidae.
GACUGGAUAGCUCAGUCGGUAGAGCGCGAAACUCUUAAUCUCAGGGUUAUGGGUUCAAAUCCCACAGCAGGCA